CCUACGGGUGGCAGCAGUGAGGAAUAUUGGUCAAUGGACGAGAGUCUGAACCAGCCAAGUAGCGUGAAGGAUGACUGCCCUAUGGGUUGUAAACUUCUUUUAUAUGGGAAUAAAAUGUUCCACGUGUGGGAUUUUGUAUGUACCAUAUGAAUAAGGAUCGGCUAACUCCGUGCCAGCAGCCGCGGUAAUCCGGAGGAUCCGAGCGUUAUCCGGAUUUAUUGGGUUUAAAGGGAGCGUAGGUGGAUUGUUAAGUCAGUUGUGAAAGUUUGCGGCUCAACCGUAAAAUUGCAGUUGAAACUGGCAGUCUUGAGGACAGUAGAGGUGGGCGGAAUGCGUGGUGUAGCGGUGAAAUGCUUAGAUAUCACGAAGAACUCCGAUUGCGAAGGCAGUUCACUGGACUGCAACUGACACUGAGGCUCGAAAGUGUGGGUAUCAAACAGGAUUAGAUACCCGGGUAGUC
This 460-nucleotide ribosomal RNA is filed under the name uncultured bacterium. RNAcentral describes it as "partial 16S ribosomal RNA". It matches the Rfam family "Bacterial small subunit ribosomal RNA", at positions 338 to 795 of the family's 1533-position model. The record is from RNAcentral.